RNAcentral lists this ribosomal RNA (253 nucleotides) under uncultured bacterium. Its description in RNAcentral is "partial 16S ribosomal RNA". It matches the Rfam family "Bacterial small subunit ribosomal RNA", at positions 524 to 776 of the family's 1533-position model. The record is from RNAcentral.
UACGUAGGGGGCAAGCGUUGUCCGGAUUUAUUGGGCGUAAAGAGCGUGUAGGCGGCCAGAUAGGUCCGUUGUGAAAACUCGAGGCUCAACCUCGAGACGCCGAUGGAAACCAUCUGGCUAGAGUCCGGAAGAGGAGAGUGGAAUUCCCGGUGUAGCGGUGAAAUGCGCAGAUAUCGGGAAGAACACCCGUGGCUAGGGCGGCUCUCUAGUACGGUACUGACGCUGAGACGCGAAAGCGUGGGGAGCGAACAGG